Molecule: unclassified non-coding RNA, 237 nt
Filed under: Bombus terrestris (buff-tailed bumblebee)
Lineage: Eukaryota; Metazoa; Arthropoda; Insecta; Hymenoptera; Apidae
Description: misc RNA ENSBTSG00005026727.1
Source: RNAcentral
CGAAGAAGAGUGGAAAGAUCGUGGAUGGUGGUGGAAAGGCUGAAGCCGAUGCAGUGACGUCCUAUCGCGUCACGAUGGAACAAAGUCGCACGCGUCAGCCAACGUUUUAAGUACGAGUUGCCUGAAGUUUGGAUCAGCCAGUCAAGUCUAAGUUUUACGCCAGCGAAAGAUCGAAGACGCGAGUUGCGCGUCGGACGUACGAAUCGCAUCGUUUCGCACCACGGAAGACUACAGGCG